AUGGAGCUGAAGCCAGUCGCAGAUACCAGCUGGCUGCAACUGUUUAUUAAAAACACAGCACUGUGCAAACACGAAAGUGGACGUAUACGGUGUGACGCCUGCCCGGUGCUGGAAGGUUAAUUGAUGGGGUUAUCCGUAAGGAGAAGCUCUUGAUCGAAGCCCCAGUAAACGGCGGCCGUAACUAUAACGGUCCUAAGGUAGCGAAAUUCCUUGUCGGGUAAGUUCCGACCUGCACGAAUGGCGUAAUGAUGGCCAGGCUGUCUCCACCCGAGACUCAGUGAAAUUGAACUCGCUGUGAAGAUGCAGUGUACCCGCGGCAAGACGGAAAGACCCCGUGAACCUUUACUAUAGCUUGACACUGAACAUUGA
Molecule: ribosomal RNA, 369 nt
Filed under: Providencia stuartii
Lineage: Bacteria; Pseudomonadati; Pseudomonadota; Gammaproteobacteria; Enterobacterales; Morganellaceae
Description: partial 23S ribosomal RNA
Rfam family: Bacterial large subunit ribosomal RNA
Source: RNAcentral